Molecule: ribosomal RNA, 255 nt
Filed under: uncultured bacterium
Lineage: Bacteria
Description: partial 16S ribosomal RNA
Rfam family: Bacterial small subunit ribosomal RNA
Source: RNAcentral
UACAGAGGGGGCAAGCGUUGUUCGGAAUUACUGGGCGUAAAGGGCGCGUAGGCGGCCUGCUAAGUCGGACGUGAAAUCCCUCGGCUCAACCGAGGAACUGCGUCCGAUACUGGUGGGCUUGAAUCCGGGAGAGGGAUGUGGAAUUCCAGGUGUAGCGGUGAAAUGCGUAGAUAUCUGGAGGAACACCGGUGGCGAAGGCGGCAUCCUGGACCGGCAUUGACGCUGAGGCGCGAAAGCCAGGGGAGCAAACAGGAU